CUACAGGCUUAACACAUGCAAGUCGAGGGGCAGCAUGGUCUUAGCUUGCUAAGGCCGAUGGCGACCGGCGCACGGGUGAGUAACACGUAUCCAACCUGCCGUCUACUCUUGGACAGCCUUCUGAAAGGAAGAUUAAUACAAGAUGGCAUCAUGAGUCCGCAUGUUCACAUGAUUAAAGGUAUUCCGGUAGACGAUGGGGAUGCGUUCCAUUAGAUAGUAGGCGGGGUAACGGCCCACCUAGUCUUCGAUGGAUAGGGGUUCUGAGAGGAAGGUCCCCCACAUUGGAACUGAGACACGGUCCAAACUCCUACGGGAGGCAGCAGUGAGGAAUAUUGGUCAAUGGGCGAGAGCCUGAACCAGCCAAGUAGCGUGAAGGAUGACUGCCCUAUGGGUUGUAAACUUCUUUUAUAAAGGAAUAAAGUCGGGUAUGGAUACCCGUUUGCAUGUACUUUAUGAAUAAGGAUCGGCUAACUCCGUGCCAGCAGCCGCGGUAAUACGGAGGAUCCGAGCGUUAUCCGGAUUUAUUGGGUUUAAAGGGAGCGUAGAUGGAUGUUUAAGUCAGUUGUGAAAGUUUGCGGCUCAACCGUAAAAUUGCAGUUGAUACUGGAUAUCUUGAGUGCAGUUGAGGCAGGCGGAAUUUCGUGGUGUAGCGGUGAAAUGCUUAGAUAUCACGAAGAACUCCGAUUGCGAAGGCAGCCUGCUAAGCUGCAACUGACAUUGAGGCUCGAAAGUGUGGGUAUCAAACAGGAUUAGAUACCCUGGUAGUCCACACGGUAAACGAUGAAUACUCGCUGUUUGCGAUAUACUGCAAGCGGCCAAGCGAAAGCGUUAAGUAUUCCACCUGGGGAGUACGCCGGCAACGGUGAAACUCAAAGGAAUUGACGGGGGCCCGCACAAGCGGAGGAACAUGUGGUUUAAUUCGAUGAUACGCGAGGAACCUUACCCGGGCUUAAAUUGCAGAUGAAUUACGGUGAAAGCCGUAAGCCGCAAGGCAUCUGUGAAGGUGCUGCAUGGUUGUCGUCAGCUCGUGCCGUGAGGUGUCGGCUUAAGUGCCAUAACGAGCGCAACCCUUGUUGUCAGUUACUAACAGGUUCCGCUGAGGACUCUGACAAGACUGCCAUCGUAAGAUGUGAGGAAGGUGGGGAUGACGUCAAAUCAGCACGGCCCUUACGUCCGGGGCUACACACGUGUUACAAUGGGGGGUACAGAGGGCCGCUACCACGCGAGUGGAUGCCAAUCCCCAAAACCUCUCUCAGUUCGGACUGGAGUCUGCAACCCGACUCCACGAAGCUGGAUUCGCUAGUAAUCGCGCAUCAGCCACGGCGCGGUGAAUACGUUCCCGGGCCUUGUACACACCGCCCGUCAAGCCAUGGGAGCCGGGGGUACCUGAAGUGCGUAACCGAGAGGAGCGCCCUAGGGUAAAACUGGUGACUGGGGCUC
RNAcentral lists this ribosomal RNA (1440 nucleotides) under uncultured organism. RNAcentral describes it as "SSU rRNA". It matches the Rfam family "Bacterial small subunit ribosomal RNA". The record is from RNAcentral.